CCUGGCUCAGGAUGAACGCUAGCUACAGGCUUAACACAUGCAAGUCGAGGGGCAGCAUGGUCUUAGCUUGCUAAGGCCGAUGGCGACCGGCGCACGGGUGAGUAACACGUAUCCAACCUGCCGUCUACUCUUGGACAGCCUUCUGAAAGGAAGAUUAAUACAAGAUGGCAUCAUGAGUCCGCAUGUUCACAUGAUUAAAGGUAUUCCGGUAGACGAUGGGGAUGCGUUCCAUUAGAUAGUAGGCGGGGUAACGGCCCACCUAGUCUUCGAUGGAUAGGGGUUCUGAGAGGAAGGUCCCCCACAUUGGAACUGAGACACGGUCCAAACUCCUACGGGAGGCAGCAGUGAGGAAUAUUGGUCAAUGGGCGAGAGCCUGAACCAGCCAAGUAGCGUGAAGGAUGACUGCCCUAUGGGUUGUAAACUUCUUUUAUAAAGGAAUAAAGUCGGGUAUGGAUACCCGUUUGCAUGUACUUUAUGAAUAAGGAUCGGCUAACUCCGUGCCAGCAGCCGCGGUAAUACGGAGGAUCCGAGCGUUAUCCGGAUUUAUUGGGUUUAAAGGGAGCGUAGAUGGAUGUUUAAGUCAGUUGUGAAAGUUUGCGGCUCAACCGUAAAAUUGCAGUUGAUACUGGAUAUCUUGAGUGCAGUUGAGGCAGGCGGAAUUCGUGGUGUAGCGGUGAAAUGCUUAGAUAUCACGAAGAACUCCGAUUGCGAAGGCAGCCUGCUAAGCUGCAACUGACAUUGAGGCUCGAAAGUGUGGGUAUCAAACAGGAUUAGAUACCCUGGUAGUCCACACGGUAAACGAUGAAUACUCGCUGUUUGCGAUAUACUGCAAGCGGCCAAGCGAAAGCGUUAAGUAUUCCACCUGGGGAGUACGCCGGCAACGGUGAAACUCAAAGGAAUUGACGGGGGCCCGCACAAGCGGAGGAACAUGUGGUUUAAUUCGAUGAUACGCGAGGAACCUUACCCGGGCUUAAAUUGCAGAUGAAUUACGGUGAAAGCCGUAAGCCGCAAGGCAUCUGUGAAGGUGCUGCAUGGUUGUCGUCAGCUCGUGCCGUGAGGUGUCGGCUUAAGUGCCAUAACGAGCGCAACCCUUGUUGUCAGUUACUAACAGGUUCCGCUGAGGACUCUGACAAGACUGCCAUCGUAAGAUGUGAGGAAGGUGGGGAUGACGUCAAAUCAGCACGGCCCUUACGUCCGGGGCUACACACGUGUUACAAUGGGGGGUACAGAGGGCCGCUACCACGCGAGUGGAUGCCAAUCCCCAAAACCUCUCUCAGUUCGGACUGGAGUCUGCAACCCGACUCCACGAAGCUGGAUUCGCUAGUAAUCGCGCAUCAGCCACGGCGCGGUGAAUACGUUCAAGGGCCUUGUACACACCG
RNAcentral lists this ribosomal RNA (1379 nucleotides) under uncultured bacterium. RNAcentral describes it as "bacterial SSU rRNA". It matches the Rfam family "Bacterial small subunit ribosomal RNA", at positions 18 to 1392 of the family's 1533-position model. The record is from RNAcentral.